AGCAUCUCUCGCCGGUUUUUCUAUUUGCCGUAUGAUGAGAAGCUCAAAAUAAAACUAUCUCCAGCAACUGGAUACAGGAGAUAUCAACGGGUCGGAGUGAACGUUACCAAAGGUGUACUUGACAAGCAUGAAGCGAUUGAUUGCUACAAAGAGGUGAAACCUGGAAUGUAUGGAGGCCUUGGUGAAGUUAUGGAAGGAUGUAAUCAGUGGUUGUAUGCACACACGCUCUAGGGGUCUACCUUUAGAGCCUAUCGAUCUUGAGAUCGAAGCAUCCAACAGAAGGAGAAACGCUUUGAGAAGGCUAAAUCAAAGGAUCCGAGUCUCUUCUCCGGUCCAAAGACGAUCACCUUCACCUGUUCAAGAAUCACCGUCACCUACUCCGUCACCAGCCCACUCCCCUAUUCAGUUUGAGCCACAUUCUCCUAUUCUGAUGGAGAACGUAGAGGGGAAUGAUGUUCCACCACCUCCUCCAACGAAUGCUCAGCUUCAACAACAACUCGAAGACCUGCAAAGGCAGUUAAAUCAAAGGCAAAACGUGGUACCUGUCCAGAACAUGUAUGCCUAUCAUGGGGUGGCAAACCCACCCGUUUGCAACAAUGUUAAUGCCAACACGUUUGAACUCAGGAGAGGACUACUUCAGAUGGCUGAAAACAAUGCUUUUAGAGGCCGACCCACAGAGGAUCCUAAUAAGCAUCUCACUAAAUUCAUCCAGAUCUGCAACACGACGAAGAUAAAUGGAGUCACAGAUGAGCAGAUCAGAUUAAGGGUGUUCCCUUUUUCUCUGGAGGAUGAUGCCAAGGAUUGGCUGGACAGUAUGGAGCCUAACUCCAUUCGCACGUGGGAUGCCAUGGUUGAGAAGUUCUUAGAAAAAUACUACCCACCGAGUGAGGCAUUGAAGAGGCAGUCUGAGAUUAUUUCGUUUGAGAUGACUCCCCCAGAGAGUAUCCGAGGAGCUUGGGAAAGAUUCAAGGGGCUGAUGAAGAGAUGCCCCAAUCAUGGGCUGAACCCGACGCAUCAAGUCCUAGCAUUCUAUAGGGGGUGUCUGCCUGAAGCAAAGCGUGAACUGAACCUGAGCGCAGGAGGAUCAUUGCUGAAGAAAGGAGAAGAAGAGGCCAUGGAAGUGAUUGAGAGAGUGACAUCUAAUGAUGAAGGCUGGAACAACGAGAGGAGCAGAGUACACAGGGUAGCCUCCGCCGCAGAGAGCAGCCAUAUGGACAACAUGUUCAAACAGAUGGAACUCCUCCACAAGAAGAUAGAUCUCAUGGGGAUGGGACCGGCUGUGCAGGAGCAGCAAGAGGGUGUAGAGGAUGUUAACUACAUACACCAAGGGGGAAAUAGAUACUAUAACAACUCCCGCUCCAAUCAAGGGGGUGGAGGUUACAACCAUUUUGGGAACAAGGCGCAUCCUAACCUAUCGUAUGGGAACCCCAACAAUGCCCUUCAGCCACCACCGGGGUUCACAGUUUCUCAAGGGAUGAUCACUGAGCCGCAGAAGAAAAGUACAGAAGAUAUACUGAGUGCAUUCAUGUUACAGUCACACAAGAACAUGGAGCAUUCCAAUCAAAUGCUAGAGAAGAUUGAGAAUGAUAUGCACAACAUGUCAGUGCAUAUGAAGAGCCUAGAGACGCAAAUGAGUCAGAUUGCUCAAGCUGUGAGCAGUCAGCAUACGCCAGGGCAGUUCCCAGGACAACCAAAAGUAAACCCCAAAGAUUGCAAGGCAAUUCAGUUGAGGAGCGGGAAGAGUUAUGAGGGUCCUUCCAUGCCAGAAAUCCCACCAAAGCCUACAGUUGAGCCCGAGAGUGUACUAUUGGAAGAAGUAGAAGCGGAGGAACUUAAAACAUCACCGCCCGCAGUUCAACUCGAGGUGGGCACACCAGUCAAGGCAUCAGAGGUUAGAGUACCAUUUCCCCAAGUGUUGCAAAAGAAGAAGAACGAUGAACAGUUCUCCAGAUUCUGGGACAUCUUCAAGAAAGUACAAAUUAACAUCCCACUUAUUGAGGCACUUCAGCAAAUGCCUGGGUAUGUUAAAUUUCUCAAGGAUGCAGUCUCCAAGAAGAAGAAAAGGGGUACAGGCCGGGGUAUCAUCAAAUAAAGAGAGAGAGGUAAAAGAGGGAAUCCACUAGACACCCCCCCAAACUUAUUCCAAGCAAAACUAGGAUAAGUUUGAAAGAGAGUGGAUCUCCCAUGGACCUUCACUGCGGAGGAGGAGGCGGAUGCUGCCACUGGCCACGGAAUUCAUCGAAUCGGGCAUUGAUGUUGGCCCAUUGUGCGUUGUUGAAGUCAGUGAAUUGGGUCCAGUUGGUGUCGAACUGGUUCCAUCGCGCUUCAUUCUGGACCCAAUAUUCCUGCUGACGCAGCUCCAUCCGUGUCAACCUCUCAUUGAUCGAGCCGUAGUCCUCCUCUUCUCGCUCUUGUCGGCUUCGUGUCCUCUGAGUGCUUGUCCCGGCUUCAUCUCCCCCUUGGUGGGUCGGUUGUUCCUCACCUUCCUCCUCAUUUUCUUCUUCAUUUUGCUCGACCCCCAUCUCGAUCGCGGGAAAAUCCAUGUGGGGCGCUUCAUCAACACUCGAGCUCGGGCUUACAUCCCUAAAUUGCAAGUUCCGCGGAUUCAACGCCGUGGCUUGUUCGUGGACCGCAGCCUUCAUCUUCCAGUUUUCUUUGCGGAAAGGACCGUUCACAUAGGUGUUGACGGUGUCCGGGAGGGGGUAAUGAUCUGCUGCCCUCUGUAUCAAAUAUAUCUGCCCUCGCUGGUCGGAGUGGACCAACGAGGGCAGAUAUAUUUGAUACAGAGGGCAGCAGAUCAUUACCCCCUCCCGGACACCGUCAACACCUAUGUGAACGGUCCUUUCCGCAAAGAAAACUGGAAGAUGAAGGCUGCGGUCCACGAACAAGCCACGGCGUUGAAUCCGCGGAACUUGCAAUUUAGGGAUGUAAGCCCGAGCUCGAGUGUUGAUGAAGCGCCCCACAUGGAUUUUCCUGCGAUCGAGAUGGGGGUCGAGCAAAAUGAAGAAGAAAAUGAGGAGGAAGGUGAGGAACAACCGACCCACCAAGGGGGAGAUGAAGCCGGGACAAGCACUCAGAGGACACGAAGCCGACAAGAGCGAGAAGAGGAGGACUACGGCUCGAUCAAUGAGAGGUUGACACGGAUGGAGCUGCGUCAGCUGGAAUAUUGGGUCCAGAAUGAAGCGCGAUGGAACCAGUUCGACACCAACUGGACCCAAUUCACUGACUUCAACAACGCACAAUGGGCCAACAUCAAUGCCCGAUUCGAUGAAUUCCGUGGCCAGUGGCAGCAUCCGCCUCCUCCUCCGCAGUGAAGGUCCAUGGGAGAUCCACUCUCUUUCAAACUUAUCCUAGUUUUGCUUGGAAUAAGUUUGGGGGGGUGUCUAGUGGAUUCCCUCUUUUACCUCUCUCUCUUUAUUUGAUGAUACCCCGGCCUUUACCCCUUUUCUUUUGAUGAUAUUUGAUGAUGAUAUGUGGGCAUGUAAAUUUGAAAUUUGAAUUGUGAUGUUUUGUUGAUCUUGGAUGUUGGAGUAGGUGGCCUUGUUUCCAUGUUCCACUUGUUUUUGUGUCUUUGUUUUCUUUUUAGGUUUGUUUUUCUUUUUAGGUUUGUGUUGAUAAUCUCCCUUGGGUAGAAUGAUAGAUUUGGGAAGAAAAUUGGUGAACUCGAAUGGGGAGUGAGAGACGUUUGGAGAUGAAUUGAGUAUGUUGUUGGAUGAGUUGCCUAUGAUGAGAAUUGGCUUAAAAUGUUUGUGAAAACUUGUUGAUAUAGCUAAGUAACUUGUAUCUCCUUCUUGUAAUUUGCCUAGAGUGAAUUGCUCGUUGCUUUGUCUUUUGCCGAAAAAUACCAUGUGAGGAUUGAGCCUAUAUCUUUUUCCAAAAAUGUGUGAUUUUUCAUCAACUAUGUUAUAUGUUUCUAGAACUUGCUCGCGGUCUCCUUGAAUCUACAUAGUGAUUAUAGAAAUAGGAGAUGACGUUAGGCCAUCCCUUCUACCCUUAUCUUAAUCUUAAUCCUAAUUGUAAAUUAUAAUCCCUUGUUAGCCAACUUUGAGCCUAAAAGCCUUUUCUUUGAUAGCUAAUAAAUUGGGUUGGGUUCCCUUAGUGUCAAGUGAAAGAGGGAAAACGGAGGAGUUUGUAAGAAAAAGAAAUGAGAGAGUUGAUAAACUCGUAGUGUAGCAAGUAUUUUUGGAUGUUUAACGUGAAUACUUAAAUGUUUUGUAGCAUAUUACUUGAGUUUGCAUCCAUUAUCCACUACUUAAGUGUUUUGAUAAGUUUGUCUAGUGUUUGGGGAUAAAACAGGUGAAAAUUACUUGAAAACGAGCUUGAAGCUGGAUUACAGAAGAAACGCCCGACCGGGCGUUCAUGUACAAGAGAAACGUCCGGCUCGGGCGUUUGUGCAAAGAAGGAACGAAUCCAGAGAGUUUGCCCGACCGGGCGUUCUGCCUCGGAAGAAUCGCCCGACCGGGCGAUGUGAAGGAAUCAGGGCCAUCGAGAGAUCGCCCGACCGGGCGUUUAGGGGUGUCUAGUCGAUUCCCUCUUUUACCUCUCUCUCUUUAUUUGAUGAUACCCCGGCCUGUACCCCUUUUCUUUUGAUGAUAUUUGAUGAUGAUAUGUGGGCAUGUAAAUUUGAAAUUUGAAUUGUGAUGUUUUGUUGAUCUUGGAUGUUGGAGUAGGUGGCCUUGUUUCCUUGUUCCACUUGUUUUUGUGUCUUUGUUUUCUUUUUAGGUUUGUUUUUCUUUUUAGGUUUGUGUUGAUAAUCUCCCUUGGGUAGGAUGAUAGAUUUGGGAAGAAAAUUGGUGAACUCGAAUGGGGAGUGAGAGACGUUUGGAGAUGAAUUGAGUAUGUUGUUGGAUGAGUUUCCUAUGAUGAGAAUUGGCUUAAAAUGUUUGUGAAAACUUGUUGAUAUAGCUAAGUAACUUGUAUCUCCUUCUUGUAAUUUGCCUAGAGUGAAUUGCUCGUUGCUUUGUCUUUUGCCGAAAAAUACCAUGUGAGAAUUGAGCCUAUAUCUUUUUCCAAAAAUGUGUGAUUUUUCAUCAACUAUGUUAUAUAUUUCUAGAACUUGCUCGCGGUCUCCUUGAAUCUACAUAGUGAUUAUAGAAAUAGGAGAUGACGUUAGGCCAUCCCUUCUACCCUUAUCUUAAUCUUAAUCCUAAUUGUAAAUUAUAAUCUCUUGUUAGCCAACUUUGAGCCUAAAAGCCUUUUCUUUGAUAGCUAAUAAAUUGGGUUGGGUUCCCUUAGUGUCAAGUGAAAGAGGGAAAACGGAGGAGUUUGUAAGAAAAAGAAAUGAGAGAAUGACAUGCAAAGCAUGGAAAAAAAAAUAAAGAGAAAAAAAAAGAUGAAGAAGAAGAAGAAAAAAAAAAGAAAACUAGGUUAGUUUUUGAAAAUGAAUAAGCGUUGUUCGAAAAAAAGAAGGGGAAAUUGGGAGUUGAGAAGAGUCUAGGCAAAGCCUAUGACUAGCUAAGGAUCGCAGUGCACAAGGGUGAAGUAAUCGUAGUUUCACUUCGGGAUUAUAGUCACUUUGGCUAAAUUUUCCUCACCUAACCAAAGAGCCCUACAUUACAACCUUGGAAAAGACCUUUCGGAUCCUAAAUUUGUAGUCACAACAUAGUAGAGGAGAGUCUAGACUUCGAGCAAGCUUAUGGUAAGCUAUACAUUGUUGAUUGAUUUGAGAGGUUCAUACUAUACCUAUACACUUUGAGAGUGAGAGGAAAAUAAAGAAAAAAAUCACAUUAUAUUAAUCCUGUGAGGGCAAAUUGACAAAAUGGAAUACGUGCUAGUAACUUGAAGCAAUGUUCAUUUUGGUUUACUUGUAUGCGAAGUAUUGAUACAUGAUGAUUCUGUUUUCUUUUACUGAGGCAAAGAUGACAAUCCAACAUACUUACACGAGUUCUAAUUCUCUGUUUUCUACUUCUUAUUUGAGGACAAACAAGUGUUUAAGUUUGGGGGAGUUGAUAAACUCGUAGUGUAGCAAGUAUUUUUGGAUGUUUAACGUGAAUACUUCAAUGUUUUGUAGCAUAUUACUUGAGUUUGCAUUCAUUAUCCACUACUUAAGUGUUUUGAUGAGUUUGUCUAGUGUUUGGGGAUAAAACAGGUGAAAAUUACUUGAAAACGAGCUUGAAGCUGGAUUACAGAAGAAACGCCCGACCGGACGUUCAUGUACAAGAGAAACGCCCGGCUCGGGCGUUUGUGCAAAGAAGGAACGAAUCCAGAGAGUUUGCCCGACCGGGCAUUCUGCCUCGGAAGAAUCGCCCGACCGGGCGAUGUGAAGGAAUCAGGGCCAUCGAGAGAUCGCCCGACCGGGCGUUUAGGCGACUUAAAAUCGCCCGGCCGGGCGAUGUGUUCUGCGAGAGUUAAUUGCUAUUAUUUCCGCCCCGGGUAUAAAAGGAGAGCUAGGUUUUCGUGCCCAAACACACCAGACACGCCCCCAAGAGCAGUUUUCACAUUGGAGAGCAGAUUAAAGCGACAAAGAGUCCGAUUCAUCAAGAAGGUUGAAGACGAAGUCGAUUUGCCCACUCAAUCCACCUUUGGGAGUAUCUUUAUUAGUUUUCUUAUGUUUAGUUCACUUUCCAUGGAUUUAUCUUGUGAAUUUGCAUUGAAUAUGAGUAGCUAAAUCCCUUGUAGAGUUUUAGAGAAGACUACAAUGAACGCUUUUGAUUAAUUUAAAGGCUUUUGA
This is an RNA transcript of Salvia splendens (bonfire salvia), 6670 nucleotides long. RefSeq lists it as uncharacterized. The record is from RefSeq and is a predicted model, not a curated record. The transcript is spliced from 5 exons. Lineage: Eukaryota; Viridiplantae; Streptophyta; Magnoliopsida; Lamiales; Lamiaceae.